RNAcentral lists this ribosomal RNA (163 nucleotides) under Ferula badrakema. RNAcentral's name for it is "5.8S ribosomal RNA". It matches the Rfam family "5.8S ribosomal RNA". Rfam says of the family: 5.8S ribosomal RNA (5.8S rRNA) is a component of the large subunit of the eukaryotic ribosome. It is transcribed by RNA polymerase I as part of the 45S precursor that also contains 18S and 28S rRNA. RNAcentral also lists the same sequence under 2 other names. The record is from RNAcentral. Lineage: Eukaryota; Viridiplantae; Streptophyta; Magnoliopsida; Apiales; Apiaceae.
CAAACGACUCUCGGCAACGGAUAUCCCGGCUCUCGCAUCGAUGAAGAACGUAGCGAAAUGCGAUACUUGGUGUGAAUUGCAGAAUCCCGUGAACCAUCGAGUCUUUGAACGCAAGUUGCGCCCGAAGCCAUUAGGCUAAGGGCACGUCUGCCUGGGUGUCACG